Molecule: long non-coding RNA, 197 nt
Organism: Arachis duranensis
Lineage: Eukaryota; Viridiplantae; Streptophyta; Magnoliopsida; Fabales; Fabaceae
Exons: 3
Source: RefSeq, a predicted model, not a curated record
UGUAGGUGGUGGGAUUGUGUUGCAUUGCCAGAUGAUAUUGAUUCUUCAGAUGAAGAUUCAUUCAGGAUGCAAAUAAAAGAAUUGGCAUUCAAGUCUCUCCAACUUCUUAAGAAAGCUAUAUUUGACAAAGAGUGUGAGCCAUUAUUCUCCCUUGAUAUCUAUGGACACAUCAUUGGCAUGUUUGAACAGAAUAAUCU